RNAcentral lists this ribosomal RNA (372 nucleotides) under Epictia tenella. RNAcentral describes it as "partial 12S ribosomal RNA". It matches the Rfam family "Bacterial small subunit ribosomal RNA", at positions 853 to 1394 of the family's 1533-position model. Lineage: Eukaryota; Metazoa; Chordata; Lepidosauria; Squamata; Leptotyphlopidae. The record is from RNAcentral.
AACAAACAUAACCCGCUCGCCCGAUUAAUACGAGCGAAAGCUUAAAACUCAAAGAACCUGACGGUGACCCACAUCAGCCUAGAGGAGCCUGUUCCAUAAUCGAUAACCCACGUUUAACCCCACCAACUCUUGCCACCCAGUCUAUCUACCGCCGUCGUCAGCCCACCCUGUAAAGGCACAAAAGUGAGCAAAACAGUUAAUGCACUAAAACGACAGGUCAAAGCGUAGCAUAUGAGAUGGAAAAGAAUGGGCUACAUUUUCUACAAAGAACACACAGAAAGACAGAUGAAAAUUCUCCACAAGGUGGAUUUAGCAGUAAGAUGAGACAAAACCCUCACCUGAACACAUGCACUGGGACGCGUACACACCGCC